RNAcentral lists this ribosomal RNA (424 nucleotides) under uncultured bacterium. Its description in RNAcentral is "bacterial SSU rRNA". It matches the Rfam family "Bacterial small subunit ribosomal RNA", at positions 355 to 775 of the family's 1533-position model. The record is from RNAcentral.
UGAGGAAUAUUGGUCAAUGGGCGCAAGCCUGAACCAGCCAUCCCGCGUGCAGGAAGACGGCCCUACGGGUUGUAAACUGCUUUUCCAGGGGGAGAAACUUGCGCACCUGUUGCGCAAUUGACGGUACCCUGGGAAUAAGCAUCGGCUAACUCCGUGCCAGCAGCCGCGGUAAUACGGAGGAUGCGAGCGUUAUCCGGAUUCAUUGGGUUUAAAGGGUGCGUAGGCGGACUAUUAAGUCAGUGGUGAAAUCCUGCAGCUUAACUGCAGAACUGCCAUUGAUACUGAUAGCCUUGAGUUUGGUUAAGGUAGGCGGAAUGUGUAAUGUAGCGGUGAAAUGCUUAGAUAUUACACAGAACACCAAUUGCGUAGGCAGCUUACUGAGCCGACACUGACGCUGAGGCACGAAAGCGUGGGGAUCGGACAG